GAUAAUAGCUGUGUGGAACCACCCGAUCCCAUCCCGAACUCGGAAGUGAAACGCAUAUGCGCCGAUGGUAGUGUGGCCUAAGCCAUGCAAGAGUAGGUCAUCGCCAGGG
This 109-nucleotide ribosomal RNA is filed under the name Lysobacter sp. Root604. The record is from RNAcentral. Lineage: Bacteria; Pseudomonadati; Pseudomonadota; Gammaproteobacteria; Lysobacterales; Lysobacteraceae.